Molecule: ribosomal RNA, 326 nt
Filed under: uncultured eukaryote
Lineage: Eukaryota
Description: partial 18S ribosomal RNA
Rfam family: Eukaryotic small subunit ribosomal RNA
Source: RNAcentral
CCCUUAGAUGUUCUGGGCCGCACGCGCGCUACACUGACGAAUUCAACGAGCUUAUAACCUUGGCCGAAAGGUCUAGGUAAUCUCCAAAAUUCGUCGUGAUGGGGAUAGAUUAUUGCAAUUAUUAAUCUUCAACGAGGAAUGCCUAGUAAGCGCAAGUCAUCAGCUUGCGUUGAUUACGUCCCUGCCCUUUGUACACACCGCCCGUCGCUCCUACCGAUUGAAUGGUCCGGUGAAAUCUUGGGAUUUUGUUUUGUUUGCAUUUAUUUGUAUCGAGACGAGAGAACUUGAGUAAACCUUACCAUUUAGAGGAAGGUGAAGUCGUAACA